This 922-nucleotide long non-coding RNA is filed under the name Homo sapiens (human). RNAcentral describes it as "HSALNT0308264". Lineage: Eukaryota; Metazoa; Chordata; Mammalia; Primates; Hominidae. The record is from RNAcentral.
GCGAAAUCGGUCUUGGGAUCCCGGAGAAGACGGUGGGCGUGGCUUGAGGAAGGGCGUUUGUGAUUGGUGGGUUCUGCCGCGGCCGGGAAGUUCGAACAGAAGUCUGGGGAAGAGCCGGCGAAGAGCAAAGAGAUAAUACAGUACUCCCAGCUAUAGCAAGCGGCAGUUAUGGAGCAUGCGCAGCAGCAGGGGCGGCCGCAGGUCGCCGUUCAAUAAUACGUAAUGUAUAGACUUUUGAGUAUACGAAGCUCCCUGUUUCUCUAGGUUCACCUGAGAUUUAUCUGGUCUUUCAGGGCUUAAAAGGGAGACAUUCCCAAAGAAGAUUCCGUGGGAAGUCUCCUACAAGCCCCGAAGGAAGGGAAUCUCUCUCCUCAUACCUUGAGUUUCCUGAGUACAAUUAUUAUAGAUAUACGAAGAUCUCUGUGCUCAUGGAGAAUUUGUGUCAAGGGAUUUGUACAGCCCUGUAGGAGACACCUCCAGAGAAAGUAACAGCUCUCAAUUGAUUAGCUGAGAAGCCUCAGGGGCUGGAUCCUGACAUGAACCAGACACCUCCAGAAUUCUAUCCCAAGCAAAAGAUUAUUUCAAGGCCAGAACUCACUCCCUGCUGGAGACUGACUACAAGAUCCACUGAGAUUGAUGUGUAACCUGAUUGGGCCCACAGUGAUGCUAGCCCCUUCACCAGAUGGAACAAUAAUUCCAGACAAGCCAUCAGAGCAGAGAGCAGAGAAGAGGAGAAGCAGCUGGAUGUCAGAGACUGCAGUUUGACGUUGGAGAAAAGCAGCUUGACUUCAGAGGGACAGCUUGACAGCAUGGAUUCAGAGAGGAGAAGAUCACCUUCCUGCUCCGUCCCCUUUCCAGCUCCCUUUCCCACUGAGAGCCACUUACACAGGCAAUAAAAUCCUCUGCAUUCACCACCCUUCAA